Molecule: ribosomal RNA, 465 nt
Filed under: uncultured bacterium
Lineage: Bacteria
Description: partial 16S ribosomal RNA
Rfam family: Bacterial small subunit ribosomal RNA
Source: RNAcentral
GAUGAACGCUGGCGGCGUGCUUAACACAUGCAAGUCGAACGGAAAGGCUCCUGCUUGCAGGGGUACUCGAGUGGCGAACGGGUGAGUAACACGUGGGUGAUCUGCCCUGCACUUCGGGAUAAGCCUGGGAAACUGGGGCUAAUACCGGAUAGGACGAUGGUUUGGAUGCCAUUGUGGAAAGUUUUUCGGUGUGGGAUGAGCUCGCGGCCUAUCAGCUUGUUGGUGGGGUAAUGGCCUACGAAGGCGUCGACGGGUAGCCGGCCUGAGAGGGUGUACGGCCACAUUGGGACUGAGAUACGGACCAGACUCCUACGGGAGGCAGCAGUGGGGAAUAUUGCACAAUGGGCGCAAGCCUGAUGCAGCGACGCCGCGUGGGGGAUGACGGCCUUCGGGUUGUAAACUCCUUUCGCUAGGGACGAAGCGCAAGUGACGGUACCUGGAGAAGAAGCACCGGCUAACUACGUG